This 403-nucleotide ribosomal RNA is filed under the name uncultured bacterium. Its description in RNAcentral is "bacterial SSU rRNA". It matches the Rfam family "Bacterial small subunit ribosomal RNA", at positions 362 to 757 of the family's 1533-position model. The record is from RNAcentral.
UUUUGGACAAUGGGCGCAAGCCUGAUCCAGCCAUUCCGCGUGAGUGAAGAAGGCCUUCGGGUUGUAAAGCUCUUUCGCAAGGGAAGAAAACUUACUUUUUAAUAAAGAGUGAGGUUGACGGUACCUUGAUAAGAAGCACCGGCUAACUACGUGCCAGCAGCCGCGGUAAUACGUAGGGUGCGAGCGUUAAUCGGAAUUACUGGGCGUAAAGCGUGCGCAGGCGGCUUUGUAAGUCAGAUGUGAAAUCCCCGAGCUCAACUUGGGAACUGCGUUUGAAACUACAAGGCUAGAAUAUGUCAGAGGGGGGUAGAAUUCCACGUGUAGCAGUGAAAUGCGUAGAGAUGUGGAGGAAUACCAAUGGCGAAGGCAGCCCCCUGGGAUAAUAUUGACGCUCAUGCACGAA